GCCGUAGCGGUCUGCAGGGGGAAUCGCAGAAGCUGGAGUUUCUUAGAGCGCUGCAUGGGUUUGGACAAACAUUAGGGAGAAGCAAACACAAACGAUUCGUGAGUGCAUCGUACGUGUUGUAAGAGCAAGUGAAGCUGAAAGACAUUGACAGUGAAGUGAUGGCUCCCUCUAUCAAUCUCUUCACCUUCCUCGUCCUGUCCCUGGUGGGGGGCAGCUCUUCAUGGGACGAAGCUUCGCCUUGCGGAUCCGGCUCCAUCCUGACAAGGCCCUACACGGCCUUGUGUGAGCUGGAUGCGGUGUGGGGCUUGGUGGUGGUGGUGGCGGCAGCGGCGGCGGCCCUCGCCUCGCUGAUCCUGCUCCUGGUGGUACUGUGUCGCCUGCGGAAGAUCACAGAGGCUGAGGAGCGCAGCGGGGUGGCGCCGCUACUCCUGCUGCUCGCUGCCAUAUUUGGGCUCUGUGGCCUCAGCCUGGGAUACAUCGCUGAGCAGCAAGAGAGCCUCUGCUUCGCCCGGCGUGUCCUGAGGGGGGUGUUGCUUGCUAUCUGCAACACAUGCCUCGUGUUUCAUGGUCUGCGACUGCGCCGGUUGGGACAAGGUGCUCAUAGCCCCAGCACAGGUCAACUGAUGGGGCUGGCGGUGGCCUUGGCCGUGUUGGAUCCGGAGUGGAUCCUUCUAGCCACGAUGUCCACAUGCCAGCCAGCCUGUGAAUACCAGCCGCUGGACUUUGCGCUGGCCACCACUUAUGUGCUGGUCCUGCUCCUGGCAGCACUGGUGGGGGCGGCCUGCAGUCUGUGGAGGCAGCAGCCACGGUGGAGGUGCAGGACCAUGUGGCUGCUCAUCACCUGCCUGGCCUCAGUCCUGCUGUGGGUGGCCUGGAUCACCUUCUGCCUGUAUGGCAACGCGGCGCUUGGCCUGUCCCCAACAUGGGACAACCGGGUACAGGCAGUGGUGCUGCUGGCACAGGCAUGGCUGCUCAUACUGCUGCACGCUGCUCCUGAGCUCCACGCCACCUUACGGCCCCCGUCCCGCAUGAGAGAGGCCAAUUUAGAGGAGGGCCUUUCUCACCUGUAGUUUGGAGCAAACCAGGACUUCGUGUUCAGUGACAACAACUCAGGUAUGGUACUUUGUUUUCGCUUCUUUGACCUACUCUGUGACUCUGUGUGUACUUGAGAGAGAGCAUAGCCCUCGCUCUUUCCUCACAUGGAGCCCCUACUGGAAGUCUGUGGAACAGCAGCAUAUAAACAAGGUCUAUGGACCUUUCCCUGUAACUCAGAUCUCACUUGAGCAGAGCUUAGGUACCAUGGCUGCAUGUGCCCCCCCCCCUAACAAUCCCCCCAAAAAAAAAAUGUGAAGUAUGACUACUGCACUGCUGAAGGAUGUUUACAUGAUCAAUAUCUGUCUCUCUCCUGCAGGUGUCCUCCCCAGCCCCCAGGAAACAUUACAUUUUAAAUAAAUAAUAUAUAUAUAUCAUC
Brienomyrus brachyistius is the source of this 1471-nucleotide RNA transcript. It is a transcript of the gene named G-protein coupled receptor family C group 5 member B-like, with no coding region annotated. The record is from RefSeq and is a predicted model, not a curated record. Lineage: Eukaryota; Metazoa; Chordata; Actinopteri; Osteoglossiformes; Mormyridae. The transcript has 4 exons.